This 253-nucleotide ribosomal RNA is filed under the name uncultured bacterium. RNAcentral describes it as "partial 16S ribosomal RNA". It matches the Rfam family "Bacterial small subunit ribosomal RNA", at positions 524 to 776 of the family's 1533-position model. The record is from RNAcentral.
UACGAAGGGGGCUAGCGUUGCUCGGAAUCACUGGGCGUAAAGGGUGCGUAGGCGGGUCGUUAAGUCGGGGGUGAAAUCCUGGAGCUCAACUCCAGAACUGCCUUCGAUACUGGCGAUCUUGAGUCCGGAAGAGGUGAGUGGAACUCCUAGUGUAGAGGUGGAAUUCGUAGAUAUUAGGAAGAACACCAGUGGCGAAGGCGGCUCACUGGUCCGGUACUGACGCUGAGGUGCGAAAGCGUGGGGAGCAAACAGG